GAUGAACGCUAGCGGCAGGCCUAAUACAUGCAAGUCGAACGGGAUUGGGGAGCUUGCUCCCCAUGAGAGUGGCGCACGGGUGCGUAACGCGUGAGCAACCUGCCCGUCCCAGGGGGAUAGCCCGUUGAAAGACGGAUUAACACCGCAUGACGUAGUUAACUGGCAUCAGUAUACUACCAAAUAUUUAUAGGGGACGGAUGGGCUCGCGUGACAUUAGCUAGUUGGAGAGGUAACGGCUCACCAAGGCGACGAUGUCUAGGGGCUCUGAGAGGAGAAUACCCCACACUGGUACUGAGACACGGACCAGACUCCUACGGGAGGCAGCAGUAAGGAAUAUUGGUCAAUGGGCGGAAGCCUGAACCAGCCAUGCCGCGUGCAGGAAGACGGCCCUACGGGUUGUAAACUGCUUUUGUACGGGAAUAACCCCUAUUAUGUAUAAUAGGUUGAAUGUACCGUAAGAAUAAGGAUCGGCUAACUCCGUGCCAGCCGCCGCCGUAA
Molecule: ribosomal RNA, 498 nt
Filed under: uncultured bacterium
Lineage: Bacteria
Description: partial 16S ribosomal RNA
Rfam family: Bacterial small subunit ribosomal RNA
Source: RNAcentral